This 94-nucleotide transfer RNA is filed under the name Malassezia pachydermatis. It matches the Rfam family "tRNA". From Rfam's summary of the family: Transfer RNA (tRNA) molecules are approximately 80 nucleotides in length. The record is from Rfam by way of RNAcentral. Lineage: Eukaryota; Fungi; Basidiomycota; Malasseziomycetes; Malasseziales; Malasseziaceae.
GGUCUACUGGCGCAAUGGUAGCGUAUCAGCCUUCUAUAGGGUCAGCCAUAUAGGGGCGAGCUGAGGGUUGCGGGUUCGAGCCCCGCGUGGACCU